Non-coding RNA from Paramuricea clavata, 344 nucleotides. Lineage: Eukaryota; Metazoa; Cnidaria; Anthozoa; Malacalcyonacea; Plexauridae. The record is from the annotation of a GenBank genome assembly.
UAUCGAUAUAGGUAUAAAAAAAUUGGAAUUAACAUACACUGUACAUCUUAUGAGUUAUUUUUAUACAUAUCCAAAAACAAUUCAUGGGCUUUACGCUUGAAUGCUUGAAAUGAGCUGGAAGAUCUAAUAUCUGGUGGCAACAUAUUAUAAAAAGAUGCUCCAGUGUACCGAAGUCCACUCCUGGUGAUUGAUAGUUUAUAGUUUGGUAUCCAUAAGUCCAUAUUGGCAGUGCUUCUUGUAUGUCGCUGGGAAAUUGUUGACAAUGGUUUGAACAUAUUACUUAAAUAGUCUGGAGUCAAGUUAUUUAAGGAUUUAUAAACUAGGCAAACUACCCUAUACAUAAC